This 386-nucleotide ribosomal RNA is filed under the name uncultured bacterium. RNAcentral describes it as "bacterial SSU rRNA". It matches the Rfam family "Bacterial small subunit ribosomal RNA", at positions 30 to 419 of the family's 1533-position model. The record is from RNAcentral.
AUUGAACGCUGGCGGCAUGCCUUACACAUGCAAGUCGAACGGUAACGGGCCUUCGGGUGCCGACGAGUGGCGAACGGGUGAGUAAUGCAUCGGAACGUACCUUUCAGUGGGGGAUAACGUAGCGAAAGUUACGCUAAUACCGCAUAUUCUGUGAGCAGGAAAGCAGGGGAUCGCAAGACCUUGCGCUGAUUGAGCGGCCGAUGUCAGAUUAGCUAGUUGGUGAGGUAAAGGCUCACCAAGGCGACGAUCUGUAGCGGGUCUGAGAGGAUGAUCGCCACACUGGAACUGAGACACGGUCCAGAUUCCUACGGGAGGCAGCAGUGGGGAAUUUUGGACAAUGGGGGCAACCCUGAUCCAGCCAUGCCGCGUGAGUGAAGAAGGCCUUC